GGGAAUAUUGGACAAUGGGCGAAAGCCUGAUCCAGCCAUGCCGCGUGUGUGAAGAAGGUCUUCGGAUUGUAAAGCACUUUAAGUUGGGAGGAAGGGUUGUAGAUUAAUACUCUGCAAUUUUGACGUUACCGACAGAAUAAGCACCGGCUAACUCUGUG
This 158-nucleotide ribosomal RNA is filed under the name uncultured Pseudomonas sp. Its description in RNAcentral is "partial 16S ribosomal RNA". It matches the Rfam family "Bacterial small subunit ribosomal RNA", at positions 357 to 507 of the family's 1533-position model. Lineage: Bacteria; Pseudomonadati; Pseudomonadota; Gammaproteobacteria; Pseudomonadales; Pseudomonadaceae. The record is from RNAcentral.